RNAcentral lists this ribosomal RNA (460 nucleotides) under uncultured bacterium. Its description in RNAcentral is "partial 16S ribosomal RNA". It matches the Rfam family "Bacterial small subunit ribosomal RNA", at positions 338 to 795 of the family's 1533-position model. The record is from RNAcentral.
CCUACGGGAGGCUGCAGUGAGGAAUAUUGGUCAAUGUGCGGGAGCCUGAACCAGCCAAGUCGCGUGAGUGAAGACGGUCCUAUGGAUUGUACACCUCUUUAGGCGGGGAGCAAUGCCGGGCACGCGUGCCCGGCGGGAGAGUACCCGCAGAAUAAGCAUCGGCUAACUCCGUGCCAGCAGCCGCGGUAAUACGGAGGAUGCGAGCGUUAUCCGGAUUUAUUGGGUUUAAAGGGUGCGUAGGCGGAUUUUUAAGUCAGCGGUAAAAUGUCCGGGCUCAACCCGGGCCGGCCGUUGAAACUGGGGAUCUUGAGUGGGCGAGAAGUAUGCGGAAUGCGUGGUGUAGCGGUGAAAUGCAUAGAUAUCACGCAGAACUCCGAUUGCGAAGGCAGCAUACCGGCGCCCGACUGACGCUGAGGCACGAAAGCGUGGGGAUCGAACAGGAUUAGAUACCCCGGUAGUC